AAUAGAUACCCAGGUAGUCCACCCCGUAAACGUUGGGAACUAGUUGUGGGGUCCUUUCCACGGAUUCCGUGACGCAGCUAACGCAUUAAGUUCCCCGCCUGGGGAGUACGGCCGCAAGGCUAAAACUCAAAGGAAUUGACGGGGACCCGCACAAGCGGCGGAGCAUGCGGAUUAAUUCGAUGCAACGCGAAGAACCUUACCAAGGCUUGACAUACACCAGAACACCCUAGAAAUAGGGGACUCUUUGGACACUGGUGAACAGGUGGUGCAUGGUUGUCGUCAGCUCGUGUCGUGAGAUGUUGGGCUAAGUCCCGCAACGAGCGCAACCCUCGUUCUAUGUUGCCAGCACGUAAUGGUGGGAACUCAUGGGAUACUGCCGGGGUCAACUCGGAGGAAGGUGGGGAUGACGUCAAAUCAUCAUGCCCCUUAUGUCUUGGGCUUCACGCAUGCUACAAUGGCCGGUACAAAGGGCUGCAAUACCGUGAGGUGGAGCGAAUCCCAAAAAGCCGGUCCCAGUUCGGAUUGAGGUCUGCAACUCGA
RNAcentral lists this ribosomal RNA (540 nucleotides) under uncultured bacterium. RNAcentral's name for it is "bacterial SSU rRNA". It matches the Rfam family "Bacterial small subunit ribosomal RNA", at positions 777 to 1315 of the family's 1533-position model. The record is from RNAcentral.